AUGGCGGCCAAUGAGGAGGAGGAGGGGACUUCGCCGCUGCUGAGCAAGGAGGAGGAACGCCGGCACCACCCCGGCUGCCCGGGCUGCGACCACGACCGGAGGAAGGACCUCCAGACCGGGCUGCCUUACAAGGAAUUCUCCUACGUCUGGAUGAUCUGCCUCACCACCGGUACGUACGCCCUCCUUUCGGCCCCUCAAACCUCAACCCAGAUUCUUCUUCUGGAAACAAACGAAAAUGAAAUCAGCGGAAUUUUCUCCCUCGAUGAGGUCACUGUUGUGUAG
Molecule: ribosomal RNA, 282 nt
Filed under: Triticum aestivum (bread wheat)
Lineage: Eukaryota; Viridiplantae; Streptophyta; Magnoliopsida; Poales; Poaceae
Description: partial small subunit ribosomal RNA
Source: RNAcentral